This 23323-nucleotide long non-coding RNA is filed under the name Brassica rapa (field mustard). RNAcentral's name for it is "long non-coding RNA (BRAP_LNC004946)". Lineage: Eukaryota; Viridiplantae; Streptophyta; Magnoliopsida; Brassicales; Brassicaceae. The record is from RNAcentral.
GAACGAAAGUGACAAAAUUUCAGUGAAUUAUGAAGGACAUGUACUGCCUAAUAAGAUAAGUCAUGUAUUGGUUACAAUUAUAUAUCUAAAUAGUCUAUGUUGUAAUGUUGUCAUCUAACGGAACUCUUGUAUUUGUUCUUGAGGACUUAAAAAAAAAUGGAAGAUAGGAGAGCAAUCAACUUUACUGACCUACCCCUUCAUGGUUAUGAUGUGUUUAAUUUUUUUUAAUAUAUUUCUAUUACAACAAAACACUAUUAGUUUAAAUAAGAGAGAAAAUGACUAGACUAAUACAAAAAAGUGAAGUAAUGACUAGACUAAUACAAAUCUUUUGAAAAUAACUAGAUUUUUUUUAGAACCCUAGUAAAUUACUGUUUAAGCCCUUUAUUAUUAUUUUUUAGUUGUGAUUAAUUUUAAUUUGAAAAUCCACAUCAGAAGUAAUGAUACCAUGUCACUUAACACGAAGGAAAAUCAAACGACGAUCAUUAACUUCUCCGAGACUGUUCUCCCACUAAACCCUAACUGUUUUCGAAAUCGUGUUCACUACAACUCUUCUCGGCAAAGCGGCUUCUCUGAAAUAAUCUCCGUAAUCUUCUUCUCUAGUCUCCGUUUCUCUGAAAUCGUGUGUCCGUAAGCUUCUUCUUCAGAUUGGUUGUCUCCUCAAAUCUCCGUAAUCGUAUUCUCUGGUAUAUUUCGAGGCUUUGCCCUGAGUUUUUCGAGUAUUUGAGUGAGUAUAAUUAAUGCUGUGAGUUAGAUAUAUGUUUUGUCUGAGUUUGAGUUAGUAUUCGUUACGGCUGAUUUAGGAUCCUUAACGACUGAUUUAUAGAAGGUAAUUGUGACUGAUUUAGUAUUCUUUGAGACUGAUUUAUUUAUGUAAUGAUGGCUGAGUUAUGUUUUGUGGCUUGUUUAUUUUAUGUCUUUCUUCUGAUUUAUCAUUGAUAUGUUAUAUAUGUCUUUUUUGAUCAGAUGGAUGUUUCCGAAGAUCUAGCAAGGGAUUACCCUCCAAGACUGUACCCUGAAGGGGCUUCUAUUUUUGAAAACAAAAGCAUUAAUACGAAUAGCCAUUUUUCUGAGAUCCCUCGAUUUAGACAAGCAAUUGGAAUAGAUGUGUGGGAUAAUCUGAAGACGUAUCCUGUUGGAUUGAUUGCUAAACUGGCUGAGAGCAAAUUGGUGUGGUCUGGUAAGACCGUACAUUAUCUACUUUGUAGACAGCUGCGAGUCUAUAAGAAGGAGAUUUGGUCUCUCGUUGUUGAUCAACCUCUCAGGUUUAGCUUAAUAGAAUUUGGUGAGAUCACGGGUUUAAACACAAAUUCACUGGCAGAAGAAAGUUUUGAACCUGAUCCAGAGAAUUACAAAGCGUUGUGGGAGUUGUUGAAAGUGCCGCUUGGGUACGGACCCAAGUUUGAUGAACUUAUAGAAGCUUUAACGGAGUGUCCAUUCUGGAGUGCUGAUCAGCGGAAAUGGUAUGGGCUGUUGUUUCUUCAAGCCAUUGGAAUUUAUGGCUUGCAUCAUAAUUGUAGAAUACCCUUUGAAAGUGCAAAAAUAGUAUUCGAUGAUGACGCCCUGAUGACUUACCCUUGGGGUCGGACUGCCUAUGAAUUUCUUGUUGAUUCUAUCAAGUUGUUGCAUCCACAAGGAGGGUCGUACACCCUUAGCGGCUUCAAGGACGUGUUAUUGGUUUGGGCGUAUGAAUCUGUCACAGUGUUCGGAGAGCUUUAUGGCAGAAAAGUGAAUCCAGACGAAAUUCCGCUUUUGCGAUGGGGUGGAAGUCGUACUCAUGCAAGUCUUGCUACUACAAUAGCUAAGGAGAUGAAUGAUCAUGGAACGGUAAGGUUUAAAUCAGACAUAUGAAUCCUGUAAUGUAAUGUCUGAGUUAUUGGAUUAUUUUAUGGUUGAGUUGUUAAUUUUAAUGACUGAUUUAUGUUUUUGUGUUGUAUGUGCGUGUGAGGAAAAUGGUGAUGAAGGAGGGUCUAGAAGAGCUGUUUCCUCAGUGGAAGGAUGAAGCAGAUGACCCACAACUUGAUAACCUAAUUAAAGAUAUACAUGCAGAUAGGUUUGUUAGAGAUUUUUAUGUGCAAUCGAAUGAGAAGAACAAAAAAACGAAGGCUGGAGUUUCGUCAGAGGCUGAGCCACCCUCAAAGAAGCAGAAGAAAGGUAAGAAACAGAAGGAGGUGAAAAUCAAUGAGGGUGAAACUGCUGUUGUAGAGGAGAAGGAGAGUGCAAAGGAGAAGGGUCGUAGCGAAGCGGUUCUGCUGAACAUAGUUGCUCAUCUCGAGAAGUUGGACCGAAAAUUUGACUCGAGAUUAACAUAAUACGACACCAAGUUUGGAGAUUUUUCCCAAGGCCUUUUGGAUACCAUUGGAGAUACAGUGAAAACUACAGUUGAAGAGCGUCUGAGAGUUUUGGGGGUGUCCAAUAGUAGUCAACCUGAAGGUCAACACGUGAUGGUCUCAGAAGACAACUAACAGCCGGAGUCCAAUAGUGGUCAACCUGAUGGUCAAAACAUGAUGGUCUCAGAAGACAACCGACAGCCGGACUCCAAUAGUGGUCAACCUGCAUCUAAGACCCCUAUUGAUAAACAGUCCGAAGACAGCCAACCGCAAAAGACCCCUGAUAAAGGCCAAUCUGAGAAGAAUCUGGCAGAUGAUAUUGCUAAAGCUGAUGCGAAAGGUAUGGGAGCAAAGCUGAAUUCGAAGGUUGUCAGGGAUAAGGCUGCUGGGGUGAAAAAGAACUUGGAUUUGGCGUUUGGUAAUGCCGAUGCAACAAAUGCUGAUUUGGUCUUUGAUUCUCCUGGUAAGGAACCACCAUUCGGACGCGGUUGCAGGGGCUUAGGGAAAAGAAAUAACUUAGCGGCUGAUUUGGAGAGGAAUGAAGCUGAGUUAAAGAAGAAGCAGAAGCAAGAAGAAGCUUAGUUGAAGAGGAAGAAGAAGCAAGAAGAGGCUGAGUUAAAGAAGAAGCAGAAGAAAGAAGAGGCUGAGUUAAAGAAGAAAAAUAAGCAAGAAGAGGCUGAUUUAAAGAAGAAGAAGAAGCAAGAAUAGGCUGACUCAAAGAAGGAUAUUCCUGCUUCAAAAAGGACUCGCAGUGGUACAAUAAGAAUACCCAUUCCGACUAAGAAAAUUAAGAACACCAAGUAUUCAGACAAACUGUGGCCGGAAUCUGAUGUGGAGGAAGAUGAAAGGAAAAGGUGUGGAAGAAUAAAGGAGUAUCGGCUGAAAGCUGUUCAAUUAUCUCCAUAUGGGUCUCAAAUGAGUGCGGAAUUUGGUCCUUCUGUACUAUUUCCCCACAUCGGAGACAAUGUAACGACGUGCAUGAGAAAAGGUUUUGAACCUUCACCUGCAAUAUAUGAUCCCCUAGGACCUGUUGAUCCGGUUAAAAUGGAUAAUCUUUUGCAACACCUAAAGCCACACGAGUAAGGACUUUUGCACAAUUUCGUUGAUUUUAGCUAAUAAAAAUAUUUUGCAGAGACUGAGUUGUGUUAAAUUAUCAGGAAAAUUCCACAUGGAGAAGCUCACGAGGAUAUUGAGUUCUACAGAAUCCUCAUCACUCCAAGACCUUGGCCCAUCAAAGAUUAUGGAUGGCUGGUUCAAAAUGUAAGUAUGCAGCUGAGUUAUAUUUACUUUACGGCUAAGUUAUAAGUAUGGUACAGGUGAGUUAUAUAUUAUCUGUGCAGCAUAAUGCUUCGUAUAUUAGAGUCCUCAUUCAAAGGUCCAAACAAGAUCCCAGCCCAUUCUGGUCCAAGCGCGUUGCCUUUAUAGACUCUUGGUUUCUUGAAUCAUGGGUUCACGAUUAUAAGCAGUUCGAAGUCAAACCGGAAAUGGUCAAAUUCAAAGGAAGUGGUUACGAGGGGUUAGCAAACAGUUUGAUCCCCACAGACAUUCAGACAAAGUUGCGGUGGUUUACAGAUGUAGAUCACUUGUACGGAGUGCUUAAUACUGGCGGCAAUCAUUGGGUGGGUUUUCACGCGGAUCUGCAUAAAGAGAAGGUUGAUUGCUAUGAUUCAAUCAUUGGAGAGCAAACACUGGAAAGUGAUCUGAGAAUGCUAAAUUUCUUUGGGCCGCUUACUCGUAUGCUCCCUGCGAUUCUGAAUGCCCUUAUUCCUGAUGAGAUCCGAGUCCCUACCAAGAAAGAGUUUGUAUUCAGACGAAGAACAAAACGUAUUGUUCCACAAAACAACCUGAGAGGCGACUGUGGAGUGUAUUCAUUUGAAGUUCGUCGAGUGUCUAGCACUUGGUGUAGCUUUUGAUGGGAUAUCGGAUGAAAAUAUUCAAGGUCUGAGAAUGAAGAUGGCAGCAGAUGUCUUCAAUGAAGGAAGUUGUUGUAGUUUGGUAGGGUCGUUUGGCGAUGAAUGAAGAUGAGUUUUGUAUGACUUAUGGCUAGAUAUUUUGUACUUGACUUAAAGUUAUGAUUUGUUUAUCGUAACUCAGCCACCUUGUUUAAAUUACGCAGCCGUUACGUUAGAUAUAGCUCAGCCAAACCUCAAACCAUACCCUAAAAUAGGGAAAUAUUUAAUAAGUCAGCCGAUUCGUCUUCAUAAAACAGCCGUUUAAGUAGAUAUAGCUCAGCCAAACCUCAAACCAUACCCUAAGAUAGGAAAAUAUUUAAUAAGUCAGCCGAUUCGUCUUCAUAAAGCAGCCAUUAAGGUAGAUAAAAGUCAGCCAUACCUCAAACCAUACCCUGAAUUAAAAUAAUUGAUAUGUUUAUACUUAAAAAUGUUAUAACAUUCCCUAAUAAGUGAAUAUAUAAUCAACCGAAAGUCUCUUAUUUAUUGAAUUAACGAGUUUAGAAUCGAUCAUGAUCUUGAGGUAUAUGUUGUCUUGCAGUUACUUAAAACCUUACAUGUAGAUAUAGAGUGUGAUCAUAAUACAAAUCUCCUAAACUAUAUACAACGCAUUUUAAGACUAAAUUUAUGUUAUUUGUUAUAUUUAUCACACCAUUAUUCCAAAUCCUAAACAUAAAUCCCUAAAUAAACAAACCUAAACUCUAAAUACUAAACCCUAAACCCUAAAUCCCAAAUAUUAAAUCAGCCGUAAUAGGCUAUAUAACUCGGCCGCCACGUUUGUUAAAUGUUGUCGUUUGGCGGGAAAUAAGAUAAUGAAUUUUGAGAAAUUUCAAUUCCCGCCGUUUCACGUUCUAUGUUUCUCUAUAUAUAGUGCCCUCUCUAAUACCCUUUCUUACGCCUUUAUCUCUCUAGAAAAAACCUAAACAAUAUCUCUCUAUCCCCAUCAAAAGCCAUGCCGAUUGUUCCUGGAAAUUCAGAGAGGUUAGAGAACAGUGUUUUUGCGAUACUAAGCUCUGCAAAUCGUGAAAACCUCCCUGUUUUAUACCCUGGUCCGUGUGACUUGCUUGACACAACCAGCCCUACAUGGUUUAAUUUUUUAGCUGAUCUCUCCCUGGUCAUCCCGACGAUUCUUGCAGAAGGAUGGGUUCAUGCAUAGCCGACAUACUGCGACAUUCCCGAUCAUUUUAAAGAACGCUGGUUUCUUAAACUCGCUGUAAGGCCCGACAUUUGUUCAUAUAUAUUAAUAUAUACCAUCGGUCUGUAAUCUUUGUAUUUUUUGUUUGCCGUAGCGGACAAACACAUGGGAUCGAAGGCAUCAUUUGACAGUUUGGCGUAAUUUUAAUCUUGUGGCCAGAAGUCUAUUUCGUUGUCAGAUGCGCCAUUUGAGGUGGACUUGGUUGGAAGGAGGCGAGAAGCCAACUUGGAUGCUAACCAGCGUUUGGCUUGAUCUAUGCCACAUGUUUGAAGAGUCUGGUCCAGAUAAUUUUGGUUCCUGAAAGUCUUUUCGUGUCUGUAUUUUGAACUUCAUUAUUUCAGCCAUAACUUGUUUCAAUGAUUCAGCCGCAACUAGUUUGAAUGUAAUCUCUGCCACAUGUUUGAAGAGUCUGGUCCAAAUAAUUUUGGUUCCUGAAAGUCUUUUCGUGUCUGAAUUUUGAACUUCAUUAUUUCAGCCAUAACUUGUUUCAAUGAUUCAGCCGCAACUAGUUUAAAUGUAAUCUCGGCCACACAUUUUAUAUAAUUCAGUCAUAACUUGUUUCAAUAAUUCAGCCGUAAUUGUAUUUUGAAACGCAUUAUUUCUGUUUGUAAAUGUUAUCUCGGCCACAUAUCUAAUAUAAUUAAGGUAUAACUCAGCGAUCAUUUUAUUUAAAUAAGUCAGGCAUAUCGUAAUUAAAUAACUCAGUCAUCAUUAUAUUUAAAUAACCCAGCAUCGAUUUAAUUUUAAGAGGCAGUAUAUGGGAAGUUCCAUCAUUAUGCGCGUGGGAAAAUUUGGAUGCCAUGAUAAUAUCGAGACUCAUUAUUACGAGUUUUUAUAUAUAUGUUUCAUUUACAAUAUCGAAACACUGAUAUUAUAUUGUAUUUUAUAUAUUUAAUAGUAUUAUAUAUGUGAUGUCGUAUCUCUUCUUACAAAGUAAAACAAUUUUUAGUUUCCAAGGACUUUGAAAUCUAUUUUAACAAUGUCUUCCUCAUCCUUCACCUCAGGAAAUUAUUACAGACGACGUAGGAAUACGGAAAGAGGAACGCCGAAAGAGUGUUGGUGUGGUGCACCAUCUGACAUUUUUACAUCUGGAAGCGAAACAAAUCCAUGAAGAUUUUACUAUUGCUGUGCGAAAGGAUAUCAUAAGGUUAGUUCUGGUUCUUAUUUCCCAUGUUCGGAAACGUAAUACUUAGAUCUGGUUACAUUGGUGAAAACAGAGUCAUUUAUUCAAAUGGGCGGAUGAGUGCUUGGUGGAAGAGGUUGAAGAUAUUAAGGCAGUGAUAAAUGGCAUGAAUAGAGACAUCUUGGAGUUGCGAGUUAACGUUGCUCGGUUGGCGAAUGGAGUAAAGACAGAAUCUGAGAGAAAAGGAGGCGAAUGUUUGAGUGAAAGUCGGUGUUUGAGGAAAGUGGUUGUUUGUGUGGCUGGAAUGGCGAUACGUUGCUACUACUACUUCUCUGUUUAGUCAUGUUUUGUCAUCAUAAGUCAGCUUUCGCGUGUUAUGUAACUCAGCCUUUAUUAACUUUUAAGUUGUUUUAACUCAGUCGUAUGUAAACAAAACUAUGCGUUUAUUAAUAUAUAACUCAGCCGUUAAAUCAAAUUGAUAAAAGCGAGAAUGUUUUGUUACCUCUGGUAAAUGACAUAAAUAGCCUUUGGUUAGUUUUAUUUACUUUUAUGCUCAGAUUGACCUAACAAUUAGAAAAAAAAAACAUUGUCGGAAACGGAGAAGGAACCGCAAGGAUACGAAAUCGCCUUCGACAUUGUGUUUACUUCCUCUUCCUAAAAAGAACUGUGAGAUCUCCGUUAUCGUUAUCGUUCGUUUGUACGAAAUCGUCUUCGUCGCAUUCAUAUCUACAAGUUCGUCUUUUCGGUAGGAUGUCGCGACGUUAAAUAUUGAUUUGGGGUUUUGUUUCGAGUGAGUUAGGGUGUUGUUUCUAGUGAGUUAGGGCUAUGUUUCGAGUGAGUUAGGGUGUAGUUGUGAUUAGGUUAUUGUUGUGUUGUGUCUGAGUUAUUGUUAUGUUGUGGCAGAGUUAUUGUUAUGUUUUCUCUGAGUUAUUGUUAUGUUGUGUCUGAGUUAUUUUAAUGUUGUGGCAGAGUUAUUUUUAUAUUCAUUGAGUUAUUGUUAUAUGUCGUGACUGAGUUAUUGUUUGGUUAUUUGUUCAGAUGGAUGUUUCUGAUGUUAAAUCACGGGGUUACCCUGCAAGACUUUAUCCUGUAGGGUCUUCUAACCUAGAAAAUAAAGAUAUUAAUCACAAUUUCCGUUUACGAGAUUUACCUCAUAUUAUAGAAACACUAGGAGAAGAUGUAUGGAAAGCACUGGUGAACUCUCCCAUUGGAGUAGUUGCUAGGCUAGUUGAACGCCGAAGCGUGUGGUCCGGUAGAACAGUACACUAUCUACUAUGUAGACAGCUGCGAGUACAUAGGAAGGAGAUAUGGAGUCUGGUGGUUGAUGAGCCUAUCAGGUUUAGCUUGGUAGAAUUUGGUGAGAUAAAUGGUUAAAUACUGGUCCAUUUCCAACAGAAAGUUUUGAACCUGAUCCUGAUAAAUACAAACCGUUUUGGGCGAAGCUGAAGGUGUCGCUUGGGAGGAGACCCACGUUGGAUGAACUGAAAAACUCAAUAGAGGUCUGCCCGAGUUGGACAUUUGAAGAGCGGAAAUGGCUAGGGCUAUUAGUUCUUCAACACAUGGUACUUUAUUGUUUGCAUCAAAAUUCUCGGGUGCCAUUUGAAAGUGCCAAAAGAGUGUUUGACGAUGAAGCCAUGAAGUCGUAUCCAUGGGGUCGGACUGCAUACGAAGUUCUCAUUGACUCUAUUAAAACGUUGGCUCCAGACAGGGGGUCAUACACAUUAAGCGGCCUAAAGGAUGCGUUAUUGAUUUGGGCGUAUGAAUCCAUCGUCUGCUUUGGCGAGUGUUUUGGGAGAGUGGUGAAUAAUGAAGACGUUCCACUUUUACGAUGGGGUGGAAAGCGUACUCGUGCAAAUUUCGAAAACUUGUUGUCUGCCGAGAUAAAACAACAUAGCCAGGUAAGGUGUAACGCUGCGUUUUGAUUUCUUAAAUGGCUGAUUUAUUAGACUUAAUGGCUGAGUGUUGUGUUUAUUUGGUGACUGAGUUAUAUUAUGCCCUGGUGUUACAGGUGCGUGUUAGGAGAAUGGUUUCGAAGGAGUCAAUCGAAGAGUUGAUUCUAUUGGAAUACGAGAUAAAUACUUCCUUUCACCCCAAAAGAUUGCUCGAGUCAUUGCGUGUGUAUACACAUCACGCUCAUAACCUGCAUCUGCUGCACGCUUCAUGAGAGAAAGCCCUUCUUCUUUAAGGUCGAAGGUGUAGAAAAACUGUACACCCUUUAUAUAAAGCGUGCUUGGAUUUCCCUCAGCGUAGCAAGCUUUCAACAACUCAGAAGGCAUAUUAAGUCUCCAGGGAACGGAUAAGACAUCGAGGAAAUGGUAAACCCUACGCCUCUCUGCUAACGCCUUCAUCGACCUCGACGAUGCUUUGAGGCCAAAGAGAUCUUGGAUGGAGUUACGGGCCGCACGUUCAACCACUACCGCCUGAAUUUCUUUAGACAAUUCAAGAAGAGGGAAAAAUUCCAUCUACACUAACUCAGCCUAUAAUUGAUUUAGAGAGAUAGAGAAAAUGCGUAAUAAUUGACUGUUGAGAGUCCGAUUGUUCUCAGUACCUUAUUUAUAAUUCAGCCAACUCAAGCCGAAACAUGAUUUGCAACGGUUGGGAUUUCACGUGAAUUUUAAUAAAUCAAAAUUAAUAUUAGGCGUGAAAUAAAAUUAACUCAGCUGUAAAAAAAAUUAAUUCAGCCUUCAAAUAGAGUUUACCUAGCCUAAGAAACAAUUAACUCAGCCUUGGAAACAAUUAACUCAGCCUUUAAAUAGCAUUUAAUCAAAUAUCAGAAAAUAACAUUAUUAUGCGUGUGAGAAUUUUUCGCUGCCAUGAUAAUAUCGAGACUCAUUAUUAGUAUGUCUUUACAUAUAGGGAUACGGCAAGCACUCAUGUAUUAUAACUAACAAUAAUAAGAAUUAUCUAAAAUCUAAAAAAUAUAUUUUAAAAUAAAAAAGAUAAUUCUUAUAUAUUGUGUGGUUAUCCGUACUAAUAAAUCAAAAUUAAUAUUAGUCGCUUCAAUCAAUUAUACCAUGCUAAUAUCGAGACUCAUUAUUAGUAUAUCUUUACAUAUAGGGAUACGGCAAGCACUCAUGUAUUAUAACUAACAAUAAUAAGAAUUAUCUAAAAUCUAAAAAAAAUUUUAAAAUAAAAAAGAUAAUUCUUAUAUAUUGUGUGGUUAUCCGAACUAAUAAAUCAAAAUUAAUAUUAGUCGCUUCAAUCAAUUAUGCCGCCCUUUAUUAGGCGUGUGAAAAUAAGUCAAUGUUCAAACAAAUAUCAAGACCUUUUUCAUAUCGAGACAAUAAAAUUUUCGUUAAUGGAGUUUCUUGUUAGGUUGGUUUAAUUCAGUCCUAUGUAAACGAUAACCUGACCGUAACCGUAAGUCAGUCUUUUGAUAAGUCAGUAUGUUUUAAUAAAAUUAUUUAAUAACCGGAAAAUUAAAUUAACUCAGCCGUGAAAACAAAUAAUUCAGUCUUCAAAUAGCAUUUACCUAGCCUCAUAACGUGGAUAAAGGGCACGCUUGGCAAUUAAUAAAUCAAAAUUAAUAUUGGGCGUGAAAUAAAAUUAACUCAGCUGUAAAAAAGAAUUAAUUCAGCCUUCAAAUAGCAUUUACCUAGCCUUGGAAACAAUUAACUCAGCCUUUAAAUAGCAUUUAAUCAAAUAUCAGAAAAUAACAUUAUUAUGCGUGUGAGAAUUUUUGGCUGCCAUGAUAAUAUCGAGACUCAUUAUUAGUAUGUCUUUACAUAUAGAGAUACGGCAAGCACUCAUGUAUUAUAACUAACAAUAAUAAGAAUUAUCUAAAAUCAAAAAAAUAUUUUAAAAUAAAAAAGAUAAUUCUUAUAUAUUGUGUGGUUAUCCGUACUAAUAAAUCAAAAUUAAUAUUAGUCGCUUCAAUCAUUUAUGCCGCCCUUUCUUAGGCGUGUGAAAAUAAGUCAAGGUUCAAACAAAUAUCGAGACCUUUAUACUAUGGAGAUAAUAAAAUUUUCGUUAAUGGAGUUUCUUGUUAGGUUGGUUUAAUUCAGUCAUAUCUAAACGAUAACCUGACCGAAACCGUAAAUCAGUCUUUUGAUAAGUCAGUAUGUUUUAAUAAAAUCAUUUAAUAACCGGAAAAUUAAAUUAACUCAGCCGUGAAAACAAAUAAUUCAGUCUUCAAAUAGCAUUUACCUAGCCUCAUAACGUGGAUAAAGGGCACGCUUGGCAUUUAAAAAAUGACAAUAAAAAAUACCAGUAAUAAACAAUUAAUUAGAUUUUACUUAGCCUUAAGAACCAUUAACUCAGCCUUCAAAGAGCAUUUACCUAGCCUAAGAAACAAUUAACUCAGCCUUUGAAACAAUUAACUCAGCCCUUGGAAACAAUUAACUCGUAGUCGAAGAGAUGCUUUCCAAAGGACAUGAAUUAUCUCGUAGUCGAAGAGAUGCUUUCCAAACGACUCCAAUAGAUCAUUUUUUAUCUAUAAAUACAAAGCGCACAAUGCCACAAAUCCAAACCCUCAUUAAGUGAUCAAGUGGCAAUGGAAGGAUCAAAAAGAUCGAUGAACAGUCCUAUGGAGGAUGUCUAUGGCGCGGAUGCUGUUGAAGGUUAUAACAAAGGGAAAAUGGAAACGACGGAGCAUUACAGGGCGCUUCUCCGCUUGGCCAAGGAACAAAGGCAAUCUGAAUCUGAAUGGAACGACGCCUCCAGCAAAGUAAAUUCUAUUGCUGCGCGCAUGGAAUUGCUUGAUGCCAUUAUCUAGGCCGAAGGCAAAUUUAACCUCGUGGCUGAGUUGGAGACACUUACCGCUUAGCAUUGUGAAGCCGAAGCAGAGUUGGGAGCUGUGAAGGUCAUCGACCCUGCCAGGAAUCAUCAUUUUCAGUGUCAACCACUGCGAAGGCUAUUGGAAAAAUCUGAAAGUUACCAUCCUGAGCUAGUGCUGAGAGAAGCGUCCCUUUGUAUCUACCAUUAAGAAACGUACCGUCGAUAACCACAACUUUGCGCAUGAAAGGAAACCCAUUUAAGCUCGCACCAAAUGCAAGAAACACAUACAUGAAUUUUCCAUUCUCAUCGAUUUGAAGACGCGUAACUGUACUCGGAUUUUCCCUUAUUAUCAUGUAUAAGUAAGAAGGCAAGCGUUCAAACCCACUCUCAGGUGUUCCCUGAACGAUUUCCCUUGCAAAUUUCAGCGUCCGGUAAGAUUUCCAAUAUUCCAUCUGUUCACAUGAAAAACGAUACACAUAAAUCAGCCACAUCAUACAAUUAAGUCAGUCACAACGUAAAACUAAUUCAACACUAUUUAAUAUAACUCGGCCGCAUUGUGUAAAUAUAUCAGCCGCUACGAAACACAUAUUACUCAGCUGUUUCGUAAACAUAACUCAGUUACACCAAAGUAAUUACAUUUACACCAAACUGCUUAGUGAUAGCUAUUCCACCACUCGUAGGGCGAACGGCCGGACCAACGUCGCCGAGAAAGUUCUUGUACAACUCUCCUAAAAUAUCUGGUGUUGCAUUUCGACAUCGAUUAGAACGCUCAGUUGUAGAACAUGUAUGAUUCGAUUCGUAAAUACAAACAUAGAACACCGGGGAUUCCCCUUUGGUAGAAGCACGAACCCUCCAGAUACAUCCAUCAACCCAACACUUAACAAUGAAUAAUGUUCGGGUUGAUAUGUCUACAUCAUAAUCAAAUCGAUCCUUCACUGUAAGAAGUUUCAGUCGUCUCUCCAAAUCGGCUUUACUCUCGUAUCGUUGCCCUACCGCAAGAUUUAACGACGACAUCUCCAACCUUAGAAGAACCUCCUCACUCUCUUUAGACCCGCUCAUCGAGAAGUUCUGAUAUAUCUUCUUGGGAGGUAUCGUUGGUGACUCUUCGUCCUCUAAAGGAGACUCACCGUAUGAGCUGAAGUUAUCAUCUUCAGAUGACGCACCGUCCGAGUCGUCGAACAUAUCAAAUUGGCUAUCAAAUUCAUCGUCUUCUUCCUUUUCUUUGCCUGUUUCAUCUUCUCCGCUGUUGGGGUCAAAAACGGUUACGACGGAAUUACCACCCGAAAAUCCUCGGAGAUCGUAUUUCCGAAAGAGAUAGUAAAAGGAAAGAUGUAAUUUUCGUAAAAAAUAACUAAUACGAAGAAGUAUCCUUUGAGAUUCAAACCGAACAAACAAAGUUCGGUCACCACGCAUGCACGCCGUCCGGUCGCUAUACAGCAACCAAACCCGAGCCAAGGUCGGUCACUACGUAGCGACCGAGCGUCCGUCUCACUCGGUCGAUACGUAGCGACCGAACUCGAGCCCAAACUCGGUCGCUACGUACCGACCGAGCGCUUGUCCCGCUCGGUCGUUACGUAGCGACCGAGCUCGAGCCAAAGCUCGGUCGCUACGUAGCGACCGAGCGAUCAUCCCGCUCGGUCGCUACGUAGCGACCGAGCGAUCGUCCCGCUCGGUCGCUACGUAGCGACCGAACUCGACCAAGCUCGGUCGCUACGUAGCGACCGAGCGAUCGUCCCGCCGAUCUGUCGCUACGUAGCGACCGAGCUCGGCCAAGCUCGGUCGCUACGUAGCGACCGAUCGAUCGUCCCGCUCGGUCGCUACGUAGCGACCGAGCUUUGGCUUGAGCUUGGUCGCUAUGUAGGGACCGGGCUCGAGCCAAAGUUCGGUCGCUGUGUAGCGAUUGAACCUUUCCGAACAUCGAUACGACACCAAUCCUUACAUUCUCGUCAAACCUUCGAAUGCUAUCUCCCAAAGACCGAAGCAAGCUCAGUCCAUGUUUCCCGCUAUUCUAAUUCAUCGAUCAAACUUCGCGGAUUAGAAACCGCGGAAAAUUCGUAGUAAACGUGUCGAGUCGGAAGACGGCCCAAAGGGACCUAAAACACGACUCGAGGCCCAUCCUACGAUUUUCUAACCAAAAGCCCGUAAACCACAGCAUGAUUUACGCUUGGCCCACAAGGAAGGAUAAAUAUCAAGUUUCCGCGGAUAAAUACGGAAGUUUUGAAGAUAAUUGUGAAGAUCGGGAAAAAUGGAAUAUCUCAAUUUUUAUGCUAUGACGGCUUAAGGGCAGAAGAGUAAAAGCGUAAACCGACCUUGGAGCUUAGUAUAUAAGGAGUCCUAGGCGAGGAGCAGAAAAAGAACUUUUUCAGAGCAAACUUAGCACUUAGAGCAAUUUAGGCAAUUUUCCGUUUUUAUUAUUUCGAGCUGCGACUCAAUUAGGUUUAGCCGUCUUAGGGUGACUAGAACUAGGAAUCUCGCCGACAGCUCUCGAGCCCAGGCUUAUACCUUGUUGUAAACGCUCAUACGCAAAUUCAGAAUAAGAUCUUCUUUGCUCUCUUUUUCGAUUUCUUAUACUUUAUCGUUGUUAUUCUCGUGUUCUGAUUGCUUGACGUGUGGUAAUUAGCAGAUAUCCGGGUCCUCUGGGAAAUUAGGGUUUUCCUAGUUUCCUUAUUUAAACGGAAAUUGACAGUGCGAAUUUCGGUUCCCACAGUUUGGCGCUAGAAGGAGGGGGGGUACAGAUCAAUCUAACCCGCAAAAGCCACAUCACUCUCAAUCAGACAUGUCAACUAACGACGCAGAUAACGUGCAAACUCCUCUUAACGGAGGCAGCGGCACUGAUCUCCACACUCCAGUAGCGGACGUAUCCGCGGCCAACGCACAAGCCAACGCCACGACGCUCGAGGAGUUUAAAAAGAUGUUCGCCACUUAUGAGAAUAAGGUCGGAAGAACAGGAUAAGCUCGUGAAUACCUUGACCAAACAGGUUGAAACCUUAACGGCAAGGACCCAAGCAAUCCGUCCCCACGGAACCACCAAAAUCCGCGGGAAGAGGCUCGACUUCGCCACCCCAUUCGAUAGAACAGGAGUCGUGUGGGAACGACCUUCCGGUCAAAACCCUAGCGAGAAAUCUCCCAUCGAAAAGGGGAACUCUGAAAGUCUUCCGCCCCCUGCAAAGGACUCGGAGAAUAACGAAGCCGAACACAUUGACCUGGAUCCUAGCGAUGUCUCCAACGACACCGACGAGGAUGUCGACAGACAUCCAAGAAGGACCAGGAGCCGAUCUGCUCGGGAAGGCUCCCCGUUCGAAAAACCAAUGACUGAAGAAGAAGAAAUCACCUAUUGGAACGAACAGGAGGAGAUGGCUGAAAGGCAAACCGAGCUCACUCGCAGUAAACGCCGACAGGCUCGGAAAUCUGCUGACGAGACAUCGGAUAUCCGCGAUCUUCGCGACUACAUCACCAAGACUGUGGCAGAAGUGAGAGCCGUAAAGUCUCAAAUCCAUCAUGCUAGUAGUGCUGCCCCCGAGAUCGAUCGACUGCUGGAAGGAGCUCGAAAGACCCCCUUUACCACUCGCAGUUUGGAUAUGAGGGUGUCCGAUCCGGGAAAAAUCAAAGUACCGAAGUACGAUGGUACGGCCGACCCAAAAGCGCACCUUCAGGCUUUCCACAUCGCGAUGGGAAGAGCAAGACUGAAGGACGGCGAAAAGGAUGCCGGCUAUUGCCGCCUGUUCGUCGAAAAUCUUGAUGGAGCAGCGCUCGAAUGGUUAGCACGCCUUCGUCGCAACACCAUCGGGAGUUUCCGACAGCUCGCAUCGGAAUUUCUCAAACAGUACUCUGUAUUCAUAGAUAGAGAAACUUCCGAUGUUGACCUCUAGAGUCUCUCCCAGAGGGAAGACGAACCCCUCCGCGAGUUAAUCUGUCGGUUCAAGCUGAUAAUGUCCAGGGUCAGCGGGAUAAGCGACAAAGUGGCCAUCGACGCGCUGGUACAAGUCAAAAUUCAGAAAGGGGCUAACUCUCGACAAACCGUGAACGAUCCAGGACGCCCUCCACAAAGCGAAGGACUACAUCAUAGUUGAGGAAGAAACUAAAGUCUUAUCGCAAAAACAUAAGGCGGCAAGACCAUCCUCGAAAGACGUGGAUCCAAAAGGGAAAAUGAAGAACUCUCGUAACGACAAGUACAUCCAUCACGAGGGGGAAGAUCUACAAGGGGCGCAUAACUAUGCGAUCAAUUCGGAUCAAGGCCGGACCACGGGCAACACAUGGACUCGCAAUCAAGGGUAUGACGAAAACACCUUCUGCAAGUUCCACCAAUCCCGAGGACACUCCACGACCAACUGCAAAGUCUUGGGAGCAAGACUGGCCGCGAAGCUACUCGCCGGAGAGCUCUCGGAAGUAACUAGCGUCAAGGAUCUCAUCCUUGAUUCUGAUCGCCCUCCAAAGACGGACAGAAAUCCGCCCGCUGAAAAAUCCCCUCAACGAAACCAACCUGGGGAUAAACGCGGUAGGAGACCGGACGACAAGGGGAACGAUAACAAUCGUCGCAUAGUCAAUAUGAUCAUCGGAGGAUCACAAUACUACGGCGAUACCGUGUCGGCCAUCAAGGCUUACCAACGGAAGGCAGAGUCAAGUGCAAAUUGGCCUACAUGGUCUCCUCCUCGAGAUGGCCAAAGUUGCUCGAUCACCUUCACAGAGGAAGAAGCCGGCGGUAUCGACCAACCUCACUGCGACCCGCUCGUCAUAGAUCUCGUCAUACGAGAUUCAGAAGUCGGAAGGGUACUCGUCGACACGGGAAGCACGGUCAACGUAAUCUUCCGCGACACUCUCAAGCGGAUGAGCAUCGAACUCGGAGAAGUAAUUCCAACGCCAAAACCGCUCACGGGUUUUUCAGGUGAAGUAUCGAUGACUCUCGGAUCGAUCCAAUUGCCAGUCAUGGCCAAGGAGAUCACGAAAAUCGUCGAGUUCGCGGUAGUCGAUCAUCCCGCUAUCUACAACGUGAUCAUGGGAACCCCAUGGCUCAACGCCAUGCAGGCAGUUCCGUCAAUCUACCACCUGGGUUUCAAAUUCCCAACCCCGAGCGGACUCGCGGCCAUCUGGGGAUGCCAAAAACAGUCGCGGCUAUGCUUCCUCGCAGAGCACAAGUUAAGGCAAAUCACGACUUCUGCAGCUGUAAACGGCAAGCGCACGAAGAUAGACCGAUCUUCAGCCAAAAACGCCCCGGGAAAAGACGAAUUAAAAUCGUCUACCGACGCAAACGCAUCGGACGUCGAAGCUCGACACAAGUCCAAAGCACACGCGACAACUCAACCAGAACAUCCAAAAAAUAGCGUUGACCCAGCCAUGAUCGACACGGUCAAGGCGGACAUCGCGACAUCUACCGCCGAGUAAGAACACUCGCGGCCUGAAACAGAACUACGAGAUGGCUUGAUCCUCGAAAGGGGUACGUAGGCAGCUCGUCAAAAAGACGAGUUCAGCUAUCCCCCUCUCUAAAAAGGGGGGGGGGAGUGGGUGCGUAUACUCGUAUACUCCCACUUAGAAAAAUCUUCAUUAUUGUAAUCGAGUUUUUAGAAACUUCAAAAAACUUUUACUACAAUAUACGUUGUCCUUUUUUUAUCAAAAACGCUUACGCUUCAGUAAAACACAAAAGAAACUUUCAGGACACGCCUGAAAACAUUAAAGACUCUUGUAUGCGGUCUCAUCAGGCCCAAAAAUCGUAAAAAUUAUCAUCUUUCAAACACACAAAAUUACACGUAUAAUCCUCGAAAUAACUGCGAGACGUCGCAAAAGUUAAAAUUCGAGGACAAUACUAACAAAUUGUCCGAACGCGACCACCAAAACCUUACACCCCGUUCGUCGAUUGGCCCCGACGAACACGCUAGCCGUCUUAAACAAACGCAAUUCGAUCACUCUUUUGAUCUUCAAAACGUCCAGCACAAGGACAAAAGCGCGCUACAACAAAAUUCCGAAAUUUUGGUUUAGCACUUCCAGUUGACUCUGAGAAGAUGCUCGAUUCGUACCAUACAAGUCACAUAAGCCGAGAACCUAUCGCGGACUUUAAAUCAGUACGAGUCAGGAAGAAAUCACAAUAGGAAAAACGAUAGCCGGCUAGUCACCGCACAAACCUUAACUGAAAGUAAACCUAGGUCUUGCCCAAAACCCAACGCUCUGGUCUCAAACAUCUCAAGGCAUGAUAUCUAAAAGAUACGAGAUCUUAAACCAUGUCUCUCCGUUCGCACCUCAAUGUUCUCGAAAAUCGUAAAGAUAGGUAACUUUUACGAGAAUCAUGAACGAACUAACAGGUCGAACGUCUAAUCAGAACUAAAUACGAGACGACAACUCGUAUUUACUUCGACCCUAUUCAGGAAAACUCGAAACAAAACAUUCGUCAUAUAAAUAACCGCGUAAGGCGACAAGGGAUUCAAAGCCACCAACGGCCAGUCCCGGUAAAUACAAAUACGGCCAUCUAGGCCUAAGCAAAAUCCAAAUUCAAAAGGCCACACUCGGCCGAAAACAUAUAAAACGAUAACUACUCCACCGCUCAUAAUCCAAAGUCAAAGUCCCCGGACAACGAAGCACCGAACGCAUCCACGGGACGAUCCACUUCCUCGCCACCAUCGGGAAACCCGGUCGAAACCUCCUCGGUCUCAGGGGAAAUCGGGAUGGAAUCCCAGAACCCUUGAAUCCGCUCGUCGAUCGGAGGGAUAAGCGCCUCAGCGUGGGCAUGUUCAUUCAUCCCACUCUUCAUCAAGCUCAUUUAUUCCUAGAACACGUAGUCAUCGGCUCGCGUCCUCCAAAGACUUCCGACCGAACCGCGGCACUCACGGAAAUCACCCACCGAAGUAAAGGCGUUCUUGAGGUUCCCAUACUCAACCUGGAAUUGAGAGGCACGAGUCUUCAUCACCUCAACGAUUUCUCUUUUGCCUUUCCUUUCCGCCUUACGGACAGCCCGCGCAUGAUCACGAGUAAGUUGCGCUUCUCGCUCCAAGAUCUCGCCUUGCACGCGAGCGAGAUCUCGUUCCGCUUUCUCGCUUUGAAACGAUAGAUCAUAGCCUCCCUAUGACUCGCUUCAAUGGCCGAGCCAAGCAAGUUAAGGCCAUACGAAAUCAAUUAACGCAUUGUAAGCAGAAAAGGAAAAACCUAGGCAAUCACGAAUAUUUUCGAAAAAAUCAUACCCCGUUGAUGAUUCGGGACCCUUCCGCGACGAUUUUUGGCCUCGCCGACUCUUUCGCAGGUGGAGGAGCAUCAAAACCCGGUGGUAGACCGGCAAAGAAAUCAUCGAAGUCCGGGAUAGGGGCCUCGCUCGAGCCACUCCCAUCGCCAUAAGCUAGGUUCGGAUCCCAUCCUGGAAGCAUAGAGUCGUCCAUCGAAAAUUCUAUAUUGCCAAGGUCGAUAUCUUUUCCCUUCCAAGAGCUCGACUCCGGCACGGCUGGUGGGGCUACAGCGGGACUCUGGUCAUCAGGUUCAGAGUCACUUCCCGUGUCCGCAACCGAGGCAGGACCAGGGUGCACGAACCUCAGUGCCCUCCGAACCCUCUUCGGCGUAAAGGAAGUCCAAAAGAAGGGACCAUUCAUGAGAAGAUCCCUCACCUCAAUAGUGUCCUCAGGUAAAGGAGCAAGAGGAUUGAUGAAAGGACGAUCGUUCGGUAAUCUCCGGAACAAUGGAAUGCAACUCUCUUCGACAGACGCAACGUCUAAACGGACAAAGAAGAAAAACUUCUUCCACGAGUUGAAGUUCGAAAUGAACUUCUUAACCACUGACAUAAAUUUCCGAGGGACCAACCUAUGCUUAUCCGUAUCCGUGACAAGUUGAAGCCUCAAAAGCGCUUCAUAAUGAUCGACAGAAAGGGAAAGGCCAUGCUCGUAGCUUAGGAUCAGGAUCCCAAUAAGAUGCUGAAUGGCAAGGGGAGUCAACUAACUUAUCGCAAUUUCGAAACGAUCCAACACUCGGACGAGAAUUUCGGGUAUUGGGAACCAUAGGCGACAACGCACUAUGAACGCCUCAUAGCAAGUAAAGUAACCCUCUGGGGGGCUGUUGGCACAUUCCCCCCGGCGGGGAACCCGGAACUCCACAGCAUCCGGGAUAUGGUAGAACGAUCGCAUGAUCGCGAGAAACUCGUCGGUACUCCUGCUUGCAUCCCCUUUCUCGACUCCACGAUGGAUCAGGACCGGGAACGACUUCUCCUUGGGAGGGGUCAACGAGCCAUAAUGAGCAACCCACCAUGCCUCGUUCUCGGCAGGAUGUACCGAGUGAGGCACGAACUCGAUCUUCGGAACGAUGAGCUCUUCAUAAGCACUCACGGAAGAAGACCCUUUUUCGCAAUCUUUUUCUUGCUCUACAUCUUUACACUUCUCUUCAGAAAAUAGAGGAAAAGGGUGGAGAGAAAGAUAGAAAGUUUUUCUUAAGAAAGAUCUUAGAGAAAGACAAGAAAGUGAAAAAAUUAUGAAACAAGUUACCUCCCUUCUUAUUGGCAUGAGGAUUUACUAUUCAAGCUCGGACUUUCGGAUAUUAAUUCCAUCCAUCACACCUAACUUGCCAAACAUGCCUAACCGCACGCUAGGAUCCUACGAUGCAUGAUCCUAACGGGCUGGGGGGCUAACUGUUGGGGUCAAAAACGGUUACGACGGAAUUACCACCCAAAAAUCCUCGGAGAUCGUAUUUCCGAAAGAGAUAGUAAAAGGAAAGAUGUAAUUUUCGUAAAAAAUAACCAAUACGAAGUUUUUACGAAGAAGUAUCCUUUGAGAUUCAAACCGAACAAACCAAGCUCGGUCACUACGCAUGCACGCCGUCCAGUCGCUAUGCAGCAACCAAACCUGAGCCAAGCUCGGUCGCUACGUAGCGACCGAGCCCUCGUCCCGCUCGGUCGCUACGUAGCGACCGAGCUCGAGCCAAAGCUUCGUCGCUACGUAGCGACCGAGCGAUCGUCCCGCUCGGUCGCUACGUAGCGACCGAGCUCGAGCCAAAGCUCGGUCGCUACGUAGCGACCGAGCGAUCGUCCCGCUCGGUCGCUACGUAGCGACCGAACUCGACCAAGCUCGGUCACUACGUAGCGACCGACCGAUCGUCCCGCUCGGUCGCUACGUAGCGACCGAGCUCGAGCCAAAGCUCGGUCGCUACGUAGCGACCGAGCGAUCGUCCCGCUCGGUCGCUAUGUAGCGACCGAGUUCAAGCCAAAGCUCGGUCGCUACGUAGCGACCGAGCGCUCGUCCCGCUCGGUCGCUACGAAGCGACCGGGCUCGAGCCAAAGUUCGGUCGCUGUGUAGCGAUUGAACCUUUCCGAACAUCGAUACGACACCAAUCCUUGCAUUCUCGUCAAACCUUCGAAUGCUAUCUCCCGAAGACCGUAGCAAGAUCAGUCCAUGUUUCCCGCUAUUCUAAUUCAUCGAUCAAACUUCGCUGAUUAGAAACCGCGGAAAAUUCGUAGUAAACGUGUCGAGUCGGAAGACGGCCCAAAGGGACCUAAAACACGACUCGAGGCCCAUCCUACGAUUUUCUAACCAAAAGCCCGUAAACCACAGCAUGGUUUACGCUUGUAAACCACAGCAUGGUUUACGCUUGGCCCACAAGGAAGGAUAAAUGUCAAGUUUCCGCGGAUAAAUACGGAAGUUUUGAAGAUAAUUGUGAAGAUCGGGAAAAAUGGAAUAUCUCCAUUUUUAUGCUAUGAUGGCUUAAGGGCAAAAGAGUAAAAGCAUAAACCGACUUUGGAGCUAGUAUAUAAGGAGUCCUAGGCGAGGAGCAGAAAAAGAAGUUUUUCAGAGCAAACUUAGCACUUAGAGCAAUUUAGGCAAUUUUCUGUUUUUGUUAUUUCGAGCUGCGACUCAAUUAGGUUUAGCCGUCUUAGGGUGACAAGAACUAGGAAUCUCGCCGACAGCUCUCGAGCCCAGGCUUAUACCUUGUUGUAAACGCUCAUACGCAAAUUCAGAAUAAGAUCUUCUUUGCUCUCUUUUUCGAUUUCUUAUACUUUAUCGUUGUUAUUCUCGUGUUCUGAUUGCUUGACGUGUGGUAAUUAGCAGAUAUCCGGGUCCUCUGAGAAAUUAGGGUCUACUUGUUUCCUUAUUUAAACGGAAAUCGACAGUGCGAAUUUCGGUUCCCACAUCCGCCUACGUUCUGAUUUUCUCCUUCCACAAUACUAGAGCAAUCAAUCUCAUUGUCCUCUUCUUCCUUCUCCGAACUGCAACCAUCGUAACUCCCACUGUAAUUAUCGUCUCUGGACUCAACUUCCGACGCUUCUACUUCUGAGCUAAAACUGAAGUUUGUUUUAGUCUUCUCUCUUGCUCCGUCGUCCUUGUUCUCCGUAAUCUCAACACAAAGACGUAGCUGUUCGAUUUUCUUUAGGGCUACAAAACCUUGCAACUGCCGAGUAUUGGACACGUACACUGGUGGAGUGUCGUGCGCCAUUGUUUUCAAUGAUUUAUUCGAGAACAUGUAGCUUAGCUGAAUAUGAUCACUCAUUUCAUUCAAUCCGUAAUCAUCGAGAACAGACUUUGCGAAAGCUUCAUUUGUAGAGUUCUCAUCUAAAUGGAGAACUCUACACCCUCUACUAUCAGCGUUGAAUACAUAUUUGUUUUUCUUAAUCCAGUUACCGGAAACAAUAAUAACCAGAUCCAUAACCAACUGAGAUAGAUGGAGAAGAGAAAUAACGGGUAUGAAAGGGGAGGAGAGAAAUAUGAACAGGCUGAUUAAAACCUAGUUUUGAAGUUCUUUCGUUACUGAUGACAUGGCAAAUCCGAAUUAAUGACAUGGCAGCUGACAUGGAAAUUUGGUUUUUCAGCCACCAAAAUAAUAUAUAACUCAGACACCCUAAGUCAGUCCACAUGUAGUAAGUAAGUCUGCCGAAACGUGGAUACUAGUUCAGUAAUUAAUCUUUUUCGAUAACCCAUCUGUAAAUAGGAUGAAAUACAAUAAGCAAACCAUAUCGUUUAACAAUUCAGCCGUAAAACAAUAUUAUUCUAGUAAUAAAUCUUUCGCUAAUAACUCAACCACAAUAUAGCUGAGUUUCAUGUUAAACCAUCCAGUUUCGGCUGAUUUAAGAUAACCCAGCCGUCAAACAUCCCAUAACCCAGCCAUUCGGUGUUCAUUAACUCAGCCGUGGGUAUAUAACUGAGUCGUGUCUUUACUACGACUCAACCAAAUUUUCCAGAAAUCAAUCCAUCGUUGAAUAAGUCAGCCGUAACGUCAGUACGUAAGUCAGCCGUUGUCCAAUAACUCAACUAGAUUCAUAUAACUCAACCCUUACGCGUGGUUUACUUAUUGUCUUAAAUCAGCCUUUUUUACUAAGUCAACUAUUUUAUUAUAAGUCAGCCAAAACUUAUACAUAUACCAGCCGUAACGAAAGACGUAUUCUUUUACGGUUGACUUAAUGAAAACACGGAAGCGUAUUCCUACGUGUCGCCGGAUUUUUGCUUACGUGGCGUUAAAAAUUAAUGGCCUUCUCGUAAAUACGUUUUUUCUCAUAACGUGGAUAAAGGGCACGCUUGACAUUUAAAAAAUGCCAAUAAUAAAAAAAAGAUUUGUAUGGUUCUGGUAAUAAGUCCUAAAAUAUAUAAUAUCUGAGUCAACUUCCCUUUAAAUAAACUCUUAAUAUAUUUUCGUAACAAAACGCUAUUACAACUGUGUUCUUAUUGAACUCUGUAUUAUUCUUCAGGAGCCGCUGGAAAAAAGUUAUACGUUCAGAAACGACAUUAAGGAAAGGAACACGGAGUGCAUUCAGAAACAACCUUUAGCAUUGGAAUAACAUGUAAGUCACUAAACUGAACUCAGCUAGCGCUUAGAAGUCAGGAAUGGAACUCGAGUGUUGCUUGCUGGUAUGUCUGGAAUGGAAUUCGAAUGUUGCUUGCUGGUAUGUCUGGAAUGGAAUUCGAAUGUUGCUUGUUAGAGAGUGAAACCACAUGUGAAUACACUUGUAUGUAUGUUGUGUACUUUUGCGUAUGUAUGUAGGUUUAAGAAGAGAAUAUAGUUUGCUUGUAAGUCUGUUGUGUGUUUUUGCUUGUAUGAAUAAAUUAGAGACAAAAAUAGCACUUCCAAC